RNAcentral lists this long non-coding RNA (420 nucleotides) under Coffea arabica (coffee). Its description in RNAcentral is "long non-coding RNA (CARA_LNC001148)". Lineage: Eukaryota; Viridiplantae; Streptophyta; Magnoliopsida; Gentianales; Rubiaceae. The record is from RNAcentral.
CCAAAAAUCCUCUCGGAUCCCUCCCUCCUUUUACACUCACAAACACACAUCACACACAAAAAAAAAUCUCUCUCUCGGCCACUUCUCUCCCUCUUUCUCAAAAUUUUCUUACAAUAGAACACACCCACUUCUUCCCCUCUCAAUUUCUCUCACACACACAAGCCAACAAGAAGAUAGGAUAAGAAAGUGAAGAAAAGGAGGCAAACAAAGGAAACAGAUGGACAGUUAAUGCUUGGAGAUUUCAUCAAAAACAUCGACCAAGAGACUACCACAUUCAUUGGGGCAUUUUCUAAAUUUUUAAUCCUAUUAAAUCCAUGUUUUGUUGUUUAAUUUUCUCUUAUUUUUGCUGAUUUCUUUUGUUGUUAUGUUGUUAAAAUUUUGAGAGGGGUCAUAAACAAGAUUAAGGAAAAGAAGAAUAGG